ACCUAAGGUAGAGGUGCUAUAAGCAAUAAGUACUUAUUAUGAGCUGGCAAGCUAUGAUUAAUUUAGGAAAGGUGCUAUGGCCGAAGGAAGAAAUUAUGCAAAGAUUUGUUUCUGGGGAUGCAUAGAAUAUAUGUAUAACUGUCACGAAAGUGGAGAGCUACAAAGGUU
This 168-nucleotide non-coding RNA is filed under the name Clostridium neonatale. Its description in RNAcentral is "Lysine riboswitch aptamer". It matches the Rfam family "Lysine riboswitch aptamer". From Rfam's summary of the family: Riboswitches are metabolite binding domains within certain messenger RNAs that serve as precision sensors for their corresponding targets. Lineage: Bacteria; Bacillati; Bacillota; Clostridia; Eubacteriales; Clostridiaceae. The record is from Rfam by way of RNAcentral.